AGUGAACGCUGGCGGUAGGCCUAACACAUGCAAGUCGAACGGCAGCACAGUAAGAGCUUGCUCUUACGGGUGGCGAGUGGCGGACGGGUGAGGAAUACAUCGGAAUCUACUUUUUCGUGGGGGAUAACGUAGGGAAACUUACGCUAAUACCGCAUACGACCUACGGGUGAAAGCAGGGGAUCUUCGGACCUUGCGCGAUUGAAUGAGCCGAUGUCGGAUUAGCUAGUUGGCGGGGUAAAGGCCCACCAAGGCGACGAUCCGUAGCUGGUCUGAGAGGAUGAUCAGCCACACUGGAACUGAGGCACGGUCCAGACUCCUACGGGAGGCAGCAGUGGGGAAUAUUGGGCAAUGGGCGCAAGCCUGAUCCAGCCAUACCGCGUGGGUGAAGAAGGCCUUCGGGUUGUAAAGCCCUUUUGUUGGGAAAGAAAAGCAGCAGGUUAAUACCCCGCUGUUCUGACGGUACCCAAAGAAUAAGCACCGGCUAACUUCGUG
This 492-nucleotide ribosomal RNA is filed under the name uncultured bacterium. Its description in RNAcentral is "partial 16S ribosomal RNA". It matches the Rfam family "Bacterial small subunit ribosomal RNA", at positions 29 to 507 of the family's 1533-position model. The record is from RNAcentral.